CCCUUACCAAUUGUCUUUUCUGCCCCUUAUUAAAUUCACAGUUCAGUAAUAAAAUAUGGGCUCAGGCCCAAUCAAAGCCCAAUAAAUGAUCGAUAGAUCACAUCACAGCAACAUCGAAAACAGGUAAAUUCUCACCGGAAACAGGCAGAUCCUCACCGGAGAGAGGCAAAUUCUCACCGGACUUAGUCUUCUUACAUAGAUCUUUGAUGAAAGUGAGCUGAUAAGGUGAAUGAUCAGUCGCGAUCCACUGCUCCACUUUGAAAUUCUGUUGAUCGCAUUCUCUAUGGACUCCGGUGACGGUGACUUCGACGUAGU
Molecule: long non-coding RNA, 315 nt
Filed under: Solanum tuberosum (potato)
Lineage: Eukaryota; Viridiplantae; Streptophyta; Magnoliopsida; Solanales; Solanaceae
Description: long non-coding RNA (STUB_LNC004918)
Source: RNAcentral